RNAcentral lists this transfer RNA (68 nucleotides) under Cottus gulosus (riffle sculpin). Its description in RNAcentral is "tRNA-Phe". The record is from RNAcentral. Lineage: Eukaryota; Metazoa; Chordata; Actinopteri; Perciformes; Cottidae.
GCUAGCGUAGCUUAACUAAAGCAUAACACUGAAGCUAUUAAGAUGGACCCUAGAAAGUCCCGCAAGCA